This 252-nucleotide ribosomal RNA is filed under the name uncultured bacterium. Its description in RNAcentral is "partial 16S ribosomal RNA". It matches the Rfam family "Bacterial small subunit ribosomal RNA", at positions 524 to 776 of the family's 1533-position model. The record is from RNAcentral.
UACGGAGGAUGCGAGCGUUAUCCGGAUUUAUUGGGUUUAAAGGGUGCGUAGGCGGACGCUUAAGUCAGCGGUAAAAUUGCGGGGCUCAACCUCGUCGAGCCGUUGAAACUGGGUGCCUUGAGUGGGCGAGAAGUACGCGGAAUGCGUGGUGUAGCGGUGUAAUGCAUAGAUAUCACGCAGAACUCCGAUUGCGAAGGCAGCGUACCGGCGCCCUACUGACGCUGAAGCACGAAGGCGUGGGUAUCGAACAGG